AUUUUUUUUUUUUAAAAAAAAAUAUGUUGGCAUGCUGAGUUUGUGAAGAAAGCAAAAUUUAAAAGGUGUGAUACUCUUUUGUGUCAAAAAUAUGUAAAACUUGGAUACAACUACGAUUUUGGAUACAACUACGAUUCUUGUCUGGGUUCUAUCUAAUCGACUGUUUGAGCCCCUUGUUGCCUAAUUUUGUUUUUUAAUUCUCUUUUUGAAUUUUUACCUUUAAAUUAAUGUCUUAAUUGCUGUUGUGCUUCCAUAGUUGGUUUGAUAUGUAUAGAGAUAGAGUGCGGAAUUUCUGUACAAUGUUUGAAUUAUAAUUUCUAAGCAUCGAAUAAAUUUGUGAUUUUUUCACGUGCAUAUUAAUUUAAGGCAUGGAAGGAAUCAUUGUUAGAA
This 390-nucleotide unclassified non-coding RNA is filed under the name Hevea brasiliensis (rubber tree). Lineage: Eukaryota; Viridiplantae; Streptophyta; Magnoliopsida; Malpighiales; Euphorbiaceae. The record is from RNAcentral.